This 423-nucleotide ribosomal RNA is filed under the name uncultured bacterium. RNAcentral describes it as "bacterial SSU rRNA". It matches the Rfam family "Bacterial small subunit ribosomal RNA", at positions 29 to 455 of the family's 1533-position model. The record is from RNAcentral.
AUUGAACGCUGGCGGCGUGCCUAACACAUGCAAGUCGAGCGGCAGCGCGGGAGCAAUCCUGGCGGCGAGCGGCGGACGGGUGAGUAAUGCUUGGGAAUCUGCCUGUUAGUGGGGGACAACCCGGGGAAACUCGGGCUAAUACCGCAUACGCACUACGGUGGAAAGCCGGGGACCGCAAGGCCUGGCGCUAACAGAUGAGCCCAAGUCGGAUUAGCUAGUUGGUAGGUAACGGCCACCAAGGCGACGAUCCGUAACUGGUCUGAGAGGACGACCAGUCACACCGGAACUGAGACACGGUUCGGACUCCUACGGGAGGCAGCAGUGGGGAAUAUUGGACAAUGGGGGAAACCCUGAUCCAGCGACGCCGCGUGGGUGAAGAAGGCCUGCGGGUUGUAAAGCCCUUUCAGUGGGGAAGAAAAGCCU